This 799-nucleotide ribosomal RNA is filed under the name Streptomyces sp. D153. Its description in RNAcentral is "bacterial SSU rRNA". It matches the Rfam family "Bacterial small subunit ribosomal RNA", at positions 40 to 853 of the family's 1533-position model. The record is from RNAcentral. Lineage: Bacteria; Bacillati; Actinomycetota; Actinomycetes; Kitasatosporales; Streptomycetaceae.
CGGCGUGCUUACACAUGCAGUCGAACGAUGAACCUCCUUCGGGAGGGGAUUAGUGGCGAACGGGUGAGUAACACGUGGGCAAUCUGCCCUGCACUCUGGGACAAGCCCUGGAAACGGGGUCUAAUACCGGAUACUGACCCGCUUGGGCAUCCAAGCGGUUCGAAAGCUCCGGCGGUGCAGGAUGAGCCCGCGGCCUAUCAGCUUGUUGGUGAGGUAAUGGCUCACCAAGGCGACGACGGGUAGCCGGCCUGAGAGGGCGACCGGCCACACUGGGACUGAGACACGGCCCAGACUCCUACGGGAGGCAGCAGUGGGGAAUAUUGCACAAUGGGCGAAAGCCUGAUGCAGCGACGCCGCGUGAGGGAUGACGGCCUUCGGGUUGUAAACCUCUUUCAGCAGGGAAGAAGCGAAAGUGACGGUACCUGCAGAAGAAGCGCCGGCUAACUACGUGCCAGCAGCCGCGGUAAUACGUAGGGCGCGAGCGUUGUCCGGAAUUAUUGGGCGUAAAGAGCUCGUAGGCGGCUUGUCACGUCGGUUGUGAAAGCCCGGGGCUUAACCCCGGGUCUGCAGUCGAUACGGGCAGGCUAGAGUUCGGUAGGGGAGAUCGGAAUUCCUGGUGUAGCGGUGAAAUGCGCAGAUAUCAGGAGGAACACCGGUGGCGAAGGCGGAUCUCUGGGCCGAUACUGACGCUGAGGAGCGAAAGCGUGGGGAGCGAACAGGAUUAGAUACCCUGGUAGUCCACGCCGUAAACGGUGGGCACUAGGUGUGGGCGACAUUCCACGUCGUCCGUGCCGCAGCU